This 496-nucleotide ribosomal RNA is filed under the name uncultured bacterium. RNAcentral's name for it is "partial 16S ribosomal RNA". It matches the Rfam family "Bacterial small subunit ribosomal RNA", at positions 28 to 506 of the family's 1533-position model. The record is from RNAcentral.
GAUGAACGCUGGCGGCGUGCCUAAUACAUGCAAGUCGAGCGAACAGACGAGGAGCUUGCUCCUCUGACGUUAGCGGCGGACGGGUGAGUAACACGUGGAUAACCUACCUAUAAGACUGGGAUAACUUCGGGAAACCGGAGCUAAUACCGGAUAAUAUAUUGAACCGCAUGGUUCAAUAGUGAAAGACGGUUUUGCUGUCACUUAUAGAUGGAUCCGCGCCGCAUUAGCUAGUUGGUAAGGUAACGGCUUACCAAGGCAACGAUGCGUAGCCGACCUGAGAGGGGGAUCGGCCACACUGAACCGGAGAAAGGGUCCAGCCACCUACGGAGGGCAGAGGUAGGAAAUCUUCCGAAAUGGGCGAAAGCUUGACGGAGCAACGCGGGGUAGGUAAUGAAGGUCUUCGGAUCGUAAAACCCUGUUAUUAGGGAAGAACAAAUGUGUAAGUAACAAUGAAGGUCUGAACGGAACCAAAUAAGAAGGCCACGGCUAAUUACGG